UUGUUUUAUUUUGUGUUUUUACUCUGACGACAAUUGAAUAACAGAAUUUUAAAGGGCCUCUGGCGAACGCUCGUCGACUUGAAGGUCGGCGUGGUCGGAAAACCAGAUUCGCCAAAGCAACAAAAGGAAUUUGUAGACAAAGGGUGAAGAGUCGAGGCCGAAGCCUCAGGAGCGCAAGUCUCCAUUCUCUUUAAUGAUCCUUCCGCAGGUUCACCUACGGAAA
RNAcentral lists this unclassified non-coding RNA (223 nucleotides) under uncultured fungus. Its description in RNAcentral is "sequence contains ITS1". Lineage: Eukaryota; Fungi. The record is from RNAcentral.